UACGUAGGGCGCAAGCGUUGUCCGGAAUUACUGGGCGUAAAGGGCUCGUAGGUGGCCAACUAAGUCAUACGUGAAAUCCCUCGGCUUAACCGGGGAACUGCGUCUGAUACUGGAUGGCUUGAGGUUGGGAGAGGGAUGCGGAAUUCCAGGUGUAGCGGUGAAAUGCGUAGAUAUCUGGAGGAACACCGGUGGCGAAGGCGGCAUCCUGGACCAAUUCUGACACUGAGGAGCGAAAGCCAGGGGAGCAAACGGG
Molecule: ribosomal RNA, 253 nt
Filed under: uncultured bacterium
Lineage: Bacteria
Description: partial 16S ribosomal RNA
Rfam family: Bacterial small subunit ribosomal RNA
Source: RNAcentral